This is a non-coding RNA of Rattus norvegicus (Norway rat), 2979 nucleotides long. The record is from RefSeq and is a predicted model, not a curated record. NCBI's taxonomy places the organism in Eukaryota, Metazoa, Chordata, Mammalia, Rodentia, Muridae.
UCAAACCAUCAAUUGUAACUUCUGUUUUCCUCCUGAUUGGUGGUUGUUAGGAAGUGACGUAACAGAAGCAGGCUUGUAACCUGGAGCUGCAGAUUUGUGAGGAAUAACCUGGAAGCUGGUUCUAGACACGGGUCUUGUUGGGGGUAACCUGGAAACCGGUGUCAGGUACCAACUUUAACUCAAGUUCAACCUUAGGUCAGGUUCUCGAAGAUGGAGCCUGAACCCCAAAAGAUCUGGUCUCUCACUUCCAUCACGUGGUUUUUCCAGAGCAGCCGGGAAAGUACCCAAGACACUAGCUACAGUUUAAGAACGGAGCCCAUCCGCUCCUUCCACCGUCGCUGCAAUGCUUGGCUCAGAAAUGGGCACACAACCUGGUUAAAGAAUCCGAAGAGGCGGCCUGUGCCAGACGCAAGUGAUUUCAGCUGAACAAGCACUCCAAGGGUCACAGAGCUGCUAAGCUUGCAGAAUGCACUGCCGCUUCGGAACUGGCUGGGGGCUGUUGGUGGAGGUCCACGUGGGUAACACAAAGGAACCUGGGUAGUGUUUUUCUUUGGCAAACAAAUAACAGGCCUUUGAUUUGGGAUUAAACCAGGAUGCAGGCGCCCUUCGUUCAGAGAGUUGGGGGAAGAGGGAAGGUGUAUCUUGGACCAUUCCCCUUUGAACGAGAGGCAGAAAUAGUGUUUUACCAGCAGCUCAAGAAAGACCAAGGGCCAAGGGACACACACAACGUGUUUUCUGGGUUCCACUUCUUUAAAAGAACUAUUGUGUUUAAUCCCCCUCCCCAAACCUAUAAGGCAGGUGUAUUGUUGGCUUCUCAGAUGAGAAAGCUGAAGUGUUGUAGAGAGAGGCAUUUGCUCAAGAGAAUGUAAGCAAGCUUUGCCGAAAUUCGUACUGCACAGACAUAUCCCUGCUAUAUGACACCAAAGCGGUUUGCAUCUCUGCAGUUUGCAAAGGACAUCCACAGUCGGCUGCUCUCAGAAUGGCUGCGAGGGAGCUAGCGAUACGGCACCGAGAUGUGGGGGAGCUGAGAGUUCCCAAGGGAUUUGACAGCUGGAAAGCGAGACUUAAACAGAGAAUAAGUCCUGAUCCAGUUUCUUUUCUGUGGGGGGGAAGGGGGGCUUCUGUAAAAAGCAAAGAUGAACAUAAGAGAGAGAGAGACGGGCAUUCACAAGGGAGAAGACCGCGUGAGGGUGCCUAGGGCGUUCGGAAAAGCGAACAAGAUCCACGCCGGUGUGCGAUUGUCUCACGGUCCUGUGUGCCAGUCUGAGCCGUCCUGCCCAGACCUCGACCCAGAUUCUGCCUGGUUGCCCAUCAUGCCUCAGUUUCUCCUUCUAUAAAUAGGAACGAAAGUAGUACUUCCUUCAGGUCCAAACACUAAGAAAACAUGAAGGCUCUCUGGAGGAAAGGACUUUGUAAUGACGGACCAGGGAAUUAACAGGAGAUUCAGCAUUGACUCCAAGCUCGGGCUCAGGCAAAGUCCCUGUUAAAAAGUAGAAGACGAAGACGGUUCAGUGGUAAAAGGCACUGUCUGCUCUUCCAAAGGACCUGGGUUCAAUUCCCAGCACCCACGUGGCAGCUCACAACUGUCUGUAACUCCAGUUCCAAGCAUCUGACACCCUCACACCAAUGCACAUAAAGUAGAAUUAAAUACAUUAUUUAAAAAAAAUUCAAAAACGAACCUGGACGUGGUGGUACACACCUUUGAUCCCAGCACCUGGGAGACAGAGGCAGACAGGCCUCUGAGUUCAAGACCAGCCUGGUCUACAGAGUUCCAAGACAGCCAGAGGUACACAGAGAACCCCUGAAGCCCUGUGGGGGCAGGGGUGACCAGGAAGAGCACAUAUGCAAAAGAAAGAAGCACUGAGCCCACGAACCAGCAGCUGUGGCUGUCUGCUCAAAGUUGAAUGACGUCAAGCCAGUGGACAAUCUAGCGUGACACCCCUAACUGAGAAGCUAUUAACAAUAGAUGGCUUCUGGGGAGGGAGAGUCGGUUUUCCGGAAUUCUGUGGUAGGUUGGCCCUGCUCCAGUGGAUGGCACCACAUCCAGAGUACAUGAGCAAUGCAACUCCAAGUCAACAGUUUAGUAAAAGUAAAAUGGACCGGAGAUUAGGGGACAGGAGUGAGGGGGCUAGAGUAGAGUGUAAAUAUAAUCAAAAUAAUUGUAUGAAAUUUUCAAAGAAAAAAAUUUUUAAAGCGAGAAAACAGGCUGGAUACGGUGGCUUAAACAGUCACAGAGUUGAAGAAGGAGACGGGCUAGUUACAAGUUCAAGGCCAUCUUAGUCUGCAGAGCAAAUUUUAGGUCAGCCAUGGCUACGUAGUGAGACACUGUCUCAAAGAGACAGGAAGAGGAGGAGGAGGAGCAGGAGAAUGAAGAAAAACAAAACAAAACAAAACAAACAAAAAAAAAAAAACCAGAAAACAGAAGACGGUGCCCUGUGAGAGAUUUGGCCUUGAGUUUGUUGAAUUUAGGAGCUGCUAGCAAUGAAAGUGGGGAAUGCUGGGUACAUGGAGGAAGUGCUAUUAGCCAGGACAGGAAAUCAGGAACUACCAAUUUCUCCAGAAGAAGUGCAGGAAGAUGGGAAGCAGGCUGGAGCUAGCUAGUCAGAGAACCAUAGAGCUGCUGUGGGGCAGAGAAAAUGGCAAGAGAGGCUCAGUUUCCAGACUAUCUACUUCCCUUCCGGAAGCCCUAGACAUGUAGGAGAGCUGGCUUUAAAGCGGCCCUUUGGCUGUCCCGGAACUCACUGUGUAGACCAGGCUGACCUCAAACUCAGAGGCCUGCCUCCUCUGCUAGGAUUAAAGGCAUACGCCACCAGGCCCUGCCUAAGCCAUUCUUUUUCAUUGUUACUAUUGCUUUGUUUCUUUGAAACAUUGUAUUGCAAUUGUGGCCAGCAAAACCCUGUAGCAUCUCAUUUCUGGAUAGAGAUCUGAAAAAUGCAGCUGUUAAAUCAGGCAUAGCGGCUCACACCUUUAAUCCCAGCA